UGUCAUCCUCUUUGUUUCCGGAAUAGUUU
This 29-nucleotide non-coding RNA is filed under the name Rattus norvegicus (Norway rat). The record is from RNAcentral. Lineage: Eukaryota; Metazoa; Chordata; Mammalia; Rodentia; Muridae.